GGGGAAUAUUGCACAAUGGGCGAAAGCCUGAUGCAGCAACGCCGCGUGAGGGAAGACGGUUUUCGGAUUGUAAACCUCUGUCUUCGGUGACGAAAAAUGACGGUAGCCGAGGAGGAAGCCACGGCUAACUACGUGCCAGCAGCCGCGGUAAUACGUAGGUGGCGAGCGUUAUCCGGAAUUACUGGGUGUAAAGGGAGCGCAGGCGGGGCGACAAGUCAGCUGUGAAAACUAUGGGCUUAACUCAUAGACUGCAGUUGAAACUGUUGCUCUUGAGUGGAGUAGAGGCAAGCGGAAUUCCGAGUGUAGCGGUGAAAUGCGUAGAUAUUCGGAGGAACACCAGUGGCGAAGGCGGCUUGCUGGGCUCUAACUGACGCUGAGGCUCGAAAGUGUGGGGAGCGAAC
Molecule: ribosomal RNA, 401 nt
Filed under: uncultured bacterium
Lineage: Bacteria
Description: bacterial SSU rRNA
Rfam family: Bacterial small subunit ribosomal RNA
Source: RNAcentral